GGGUAUUGUCCCGGGGGCUCUCUAGAGAUUAGAGUUUGAUCCUGGCUCAGAACGAACGCUGGCGGCGUGGAUAAGACAUGCAAGUCGAACGCUGACAUUCUGGUAGCAAUAUUAGGAUGUUGGAGUGGCGCAAGGGUGUGUAACACGUGAGUAAUCUGCCGUGAAGUCUGGGAUAACUCGCUGAAAGGCGAGCUAAUACCGGAUGUGAAUGUAAAUUCAAAGUUGGGGAUCGCAAGACCUGACGCUUUACGAUGAGCUCGCGGCCUAUCAGCUAGUUGGUGAGGUAAAGGCUCACCAAGGCUAAGACGGGUAGCUGGUCUGAGAGGACGACCAGCCACACUGGAACUGAGACACGGUCCAGACACCUACGGGUGGCAGCAGUCGAGAAUUUUUCUCAAUGGGCGAAAGCCUGAAGGAGCGACGCCGCGUGGGGGAUGAAUGGCUUCGGCCCGUAAACCCCUGUCAUUUGCGAACAAAUUAAUCUACCCAACACGUGGAUUAUUGAUUGUAGCGAAAGAGGAAGGGACGGCUAACUCUGUGCCAGCAGCCGCGGUAAUACAGAGGUCCCAAGCGUUGUUCGGAUUCACUGGGCGUAAAGGGUGCGUAGGCGGUCGGAUAAGUCUGACGUGAAAUCUCCGGGCCUAACCCGGAAACUGCGUUGGAAACUAUCUGGCUAGAGGAAUGGAGGGGAGACUGGAAUACUUGGUGUAGCAGUGAAAUGCGUAGAUAUCAAGUGGAACACCAGUGGCGAAGGCGAGUCUCUGGACAUUUCCUGACGCUGAGGCACGAAAGCCAGGGGAGCAAACGGGAUUAGAUACCCCGGUAGUCCUGGCCCUAAACGGUGCACGUUUGCUGUGAGUGGAAUCGACCCCACUCGUGGCAUAGUUAACACGAUAAACGUGCCGCCUGGGAAGUACGGCCGCAAGGUUAAAACUCAAAGAAAUUGACGGGGGCCUGCACAAGCAGUGGAGUAUGUGGCUUAAUUCGAUGCAACGCGAAGAACCUUACCUGGCCUUGACAUGCAUAUAGUAGAAGCCUGAAAGGGUGACGAGGUAGCAAUACCAGUAUGCACAGGUGCUGCAUGGCUGUCGUCAGCUCGUGUCGUGAGAUGUUGGGUUAAGUCCCGCAACGAGCGCAACCCCUGUGUCCUGUUGCCACCCCUUAAUUGGGAGCACUCUGGACAGACUGCCUCGCUUCAACGAGGAGGAAGGUGGGGAUGACGUCAAGUCAGUAUGGCCCUUACGGCCAGGGCUGCACACGUACUACAAUGGCCGGUACAAAGGGAAGCAAGACCGCAAGGUGGAGCAAAUCCCCCAAAACCGGCCCCAGUUCAGAUUGUCGUCUGCAACUCGACGGCAUGAAGCUGGAAUUGCUAGUAAUGGCGCAUCAGCUACGGCGCCGUGAAUACGUUCCCAGGCCUUGUACACACCGCCCGUCACAUCAUGAAAGCCGGUUGCACCCGAAGUCGCCCCUUAAAAGGUGCCGAAGGUAUGACUGGUGAUUGGGAUGAAGUCGUAACAAGGUAGCCGUAAAU
This 1534-nucleotide ribosomal RNA is filed under the name uncultured bacterium. Its description in RNAcentral is "bacterial SSU rRNA". It matches the Rfam family "Bacterial small subunit ribosomal RNA". The record is from RNAcentral.